Molecule: ribosomal RNA, 301 nt
Filed under: uncultured bacterium
Lineage: Bacteria
Description: partial 16S ribosomal RNA
Rfam family: Bacterial small subunit ribosomal RNA
Source: RNAcentral
CAGCUGCCGCGGUAAUACGUAGGUGGCAAGCGUUAUCCGGAAUUAUUGGGCGUAAAGCGCGCGUAGGCGGUUUUUUAAGUCUGAUGUGAAAGCCCACGGCUCAACCGUGGAGGGUCAUUGGAAACUGGAAAACUUGAGUGCAGAAGAGGAAAGUGGAAUUCCAUGUGUAGCGGUGAAAUGCGCAGAGAUAUGGAGGAACACCAGUGGCGAAGGCGGCUUUCUGGUCUGCAACUGACGCUGAUGUGCGAAAGCGUGGGGAUCAAACAGGAUUAGAUACCCCAGUAGUCCCUGUCUCUUAUAC